RNAcentral lists this ribosomal RNA (274 nucleotides) under uncultured bacterium. Its description in RNAcentral is "partial 16S ribosomal RNA". It matches the Rfam family "Bacterial small subunit ribosomal RNA", at positions 523 to 796 of the family's 1533-position model. The record is from RNAcentral.
AUACGGAGGGUGCGAGCGUUAAUCGGAAUUACUGGGCGUAAAGCGUACGUAGGCGGUUUGCUAAGUCAGAUGUGAAAGCCCCGGGCUUAACCUGGGAACUGCAUUUGAUACUGGCAGACUAGAGUAUGAUAGAGGGGGGUAGAAUUCCUGGUGUAGCGGUGAAAUGCGUAGAUAUCAGGAGGAAUACCAGUGGCGAAGGCGGCCCCCUGGAUCAAUACUGACGCUGAGGUACGAAAGCGUGGGGAGCGAACAGGAUUAGAAACCCUUGUAGUCC